CAAGUUGAGUGGCGAACGGGUGAGUAACACGUGGGUGACCUACCUUCGAGUGGGGGAUAACGUCCCGAAAGGGACGCUAAUACCGCAUAACAUCCUGCCUUUGAACAGGUGGAGAUCAAAGCCGGGGAUCGCAAGACCUGGCGCUUGAUGAGGGGCCCGCGUCCGAUUAGCUAGUUGGUGGGGUAAUGGCCUACCAAGGCGACGAUCGGUAGCCGGCCUGAGAGGGCGGACGGCCACACUGGGACUGAGACACGGCCCAGACUCCUACGGGAGGCAGCAGUGGGGAAUUGUUCGCAGUGGGCGCAAGCCUGACGACGCAACGCCGCGUGGAGGAUGAAGGUCUUCGGAUUGUAAACUCCUGUUGCCCGGGACGAAUGGCUCCAACCUAAUACGUUGGAGUGUGACGGUACCGGGUGAGGAAGCCCCGGCUAACUCUGUGCCAGCAGCCGCGGUAAUACAGAGGGGGCAAGCGUUG
RNAcentral lists this ribosomal RNA (475 nucleotides) under uncultured bacterium. Its description in RNAcentral is "bacterial SSU rRNA". It matches the Rfam family "Bacterial small subunit ribosomal RNA", at positions 87 to 543 of the family's 1533-position model. The record is from RNAcentral.